Molecule: unclassified non-coding RNA, 474 nt
Filed under: Candida albicans
Lineage: Eukaryota; Fungi; Ascomycota; Pichiomycetes; Serinales; Debaryomycetaceae
Description: sequence contains 18S rRNA gene, ITS1, 5.8S rRNA gene, ITS2, 28S rRNA gene
Rfam family: 5.8S ribosomal RNA (bases 148-301)
Source: RNAcentral
GAUCAUUACUGAUUUGCUUAAUUGCACCACAUGUGUUUUUCUUUGAAACAAACUUGCUUUGGCGGUGGGCCCAGCCUGCCGCCAGAGGUCUAAACUUACAACCAAUUUUUUAUCAACUUGUCACACCAGAUUAUUACUAAUAGUCAAAACUUUCAACAACGGAUCUCUUGGUUCUCGCAUCGAUGAAGAACGCAGCGAAAUGCGAUACGUAAUAUGAAUUGCAGAUAUUCGUGAAUCAUCGAAUCUUUGAACGCACAUUGCGCCCUCUGGUAUUCCGGAGGGCAUGCCUGUUUGAGCGUCGUUUCUCCCUCAAACCGCUGGGUUUGGUGUUGAGCAAUACGACUUGGGUUUGCUUGAAAGACGGUAGUGGUAAGGCGGGAUCGCUUUGACAAUGGCUUAGGUCUAACCAAAAACAUUGCUUGCGGCGGCAACGUCUACCACGUAUAUCUUCAAACUUUGACCUCAAAUCAGGUA